CGGAAGGGCCGUAUUUAUUAGAUAACAGACCAAUAUUCCCUGGUGUCUAUUGUGGUGACUCAUAGUAACUGAUCGGAUCGCACGGGCGUGCCCGCGACAAACCAUUCAAGUUUCUGCCCCAUCAGCUUUCGAUGGUAGUGUAUUGGACUACCAUGGCUUUUACGGGUAACGGAGGAUUAGGGUUCGAUUCCGGAGAGGGAGCCUGAGAAACGGCUACCACAUCUAAGGAAGGCAGCAGGCGCGUAAAUUACCCAAUCCUGACUCAGGGAGGUAGUG
RNAcentral lists this ribosomal RNA (276 nucleotides) under uncultured Spirotrichea. Its description in RNAcentral is "partial small subunit ribosomal RNA". It matches the Rfam family "Eukaryotic small subunit ribosomal RNA", at positions 193 to 469 of the family's 1831-position model. The record is from RNAcentral. Lineage: Eukaryota; Ciliophora; Spirotrichea.